This 586-nucleotide ribosomal RNA is filed under the name uncultured bacterium. RNAcentral describes it as "bacterial SSU rRNA". It matches the Rfam family "Bacterial small subunit ribosomal RNA", at positions 338 to 916 of the family's 1533-position model. The record is from RNAcentral.
CCUACGGGAGGCAGCAGUGGGGAAUUUUGGACAAUGGGCGCAAGCCUGAUCCAGCAAUGCCGCGUGCAGGAUGAAGGCCUUCGGGUUGUAAACUGCUUUUGUACGGAACGAAACGGCUUCUCCUAAUACGAGAGGCUAAUGACGGUACCGUAAGAAUAAGCACCGGCUAACUACGUGCCAGCAGCCGCGGUAAUACGUAGGGUGCAAGCGUUAAUCGGAAUUACUGGGCGUAAAGCGUGCGCAGGCGGUUAUAUAAGACAGAUGUGAAAUCCCCGGGCUCAACCUGGGACCUGCAUUUGUGACUGUAUAGCUAGAGUACGGUAGAGGGGGAUGGAAUUCCGCGUGUAGCAGUGAAAUGCGUAGAUAUGCGGAGGAACACCGAUGGCGAAGGCAAUCCCCUGGACCUGUACUGACGCUCAUGCACGAAAGCGCGGGGAGCAAACAGGAUUAGAUACCCUGGUAGUCCACGCCCUAAACCGAUGUCAACUGGUUGUUGGGUCUUCACUGACUCAGUAACGAAGCUAACGCGUGAAGUUGACCGCCUGGGGAGUACGGCCGCAAGGUUGAAACUCAAAGGAAUUGACGG